Vicia villosa (hairy vetch) is the source of this 2371-nucleotide long non-coding RNA. RefSeq lists it as uncharacterized. The transcript is spliced from 4 exons. Lineage: Eukaryota; Viridiplantae; Streptophyta; Magnoliopsida; Fabales; Fabaceae. The record is from RefSeq and is a predicted model, not a curated record.
CCCAAUUCCUCUUCAAUCUCAAAGCUCUCACGCUCUCCUUCGUUUCUCAGACGGCGCACAAACGGCAGCCUCUCCGGCGAGCGUUUUGAACGCCGCCGUGAGUCAUUAUCGUCUCCUAAUGUCCCUCUCGUUGCCUCACUUUCUCAUCUCUCAAUCUCAGCUCCGUUAUCCCUCAAAUCGCUCUCGUCUCCGAUUUCAUUCUCAGGCAAAUAACCAAUUUCUUAAUCCUAGAUGCAUACAUGAGGAUGAAAGAACGAGAAUUAAAGCAUUGAACGAGAACCUGUUAGGAGACCUGAAUUUCAGAUGCGGUGGCGGAGAUUCCCGACCACCGCGAAACUCAGUGGAGAAGAUUAUUGAUGAGCGAGAUGUUGAUGAUGAAUAUCGUGCUGUUGUCGAUGCAGAUGAAUCGAAUCGUGGCGGAGAGGUGUUGAAGGUGCUGAUUCGAGGAUGAUGAGGAUUGUGCGAUGAAGAUGAUUGUUGUGAUGUGAAGUAGUUACAAAAAAAGAUCACAGAGCAGGGAUAACUCAGAGAGAGGGUUUAGUAGAUGAAGUUUCAGAAUUUUAGUGGCGAAUGGUGAAGAAUGAAGAUCGGUGGAAUCAGUGGAGAAAUGGAGGAGUGAACAAAAAUGGUGGAAACAGAGUGGUUCAGGAAGAGAAGGAAAAAUCGUGAAGGUGUCGACGAGUGAGAAGUGAAGAGAUUGAAGAAAAUGGUUAAUGGACGUGGAGAGGAAUGAUUGAAGAUGAGGGAUGAGUUAUAUAGGGGUUUCUCAAGGUUGAAUGUAGAUUUUGAAUGAUGUACUUCAUUGGCAGAUAUGGAGCAGAACUGGGUCAAAUUGCAGGCUGCCUGGUGUGUUGGGAUAACUUGAAGAUGAAUGAAAGGCUUUGAAUUCAAUCAUGAUGCGAUGCGCACAUUCAAUGCAACGAACGCCAACUUCCUAUUCGCUUUAGACUUGUCAUUUCCUUUCUGUUUGUUGUCGUUCUAAUCCUUUGUUCCCCCACGAGGCUAGAUUCAAUGAGUUCACAGUUGGGUUUCCUCCUGGUUUUUUCAUUCUCUUUACGAUCUAUAUACCUUCCAUUCUCAGUACCUUUUUCCCUGUUGUCUUUAAGGAUAUCAAAUCUUAAGCCUCCCUUUCCAGGUGUAUUGUUUGUGUCAGUUUUGUUUCUUUUCUUAUUACUUUCUAAAAUUAAACCUGCACCAUCUGUAAUUACCUUAAGCUUGUUCUUGUUGGCUCUUUUAGAGUUUUGGACUACUUGCCAAGGCCCUAUUGCAAGUUUCUUUGGCACUUCCCGUUUGCCGCUUCUUUCUUUUGUUAGUUCUUGACCCUUGUUGUCCUUACCACCUGUCUCACAUGAUUCAGUAUAGUGUCCAUAUCUCCUGCAAGCAAGACAGAGGUAGUGAAGCUUUUUAUAUUCUAUCUUAUAGUGUUUUACUUUAAUUGAAAACAUGGCAAGGAAUGUAUUAGAUAUAUUUACAUGGACACACAUUCUAGCGUAUUUGCCUCGUUCUAUAGAGAGGGUGAUCCACAUGUUAACACUCGAGAAUCAUAGUACUUAAUUGGGAGUCAACAGAUUUGAACCCACACAACGAGUAGGUCGAUGAUAUUGCUGUUCAGGCAGAAGUUAGCGCUUCAUUCUCUUAAUGUGAGGUAGUGAUCAUAGAUCAUCCAAGGCCCUUCCAUGGGAACUAUAGUGUGAUCUUCAUAAUUUGUGAAAGUGAUAAGAUAGUAUUCUUGCCCUAGAUCUAUGAUAUGUAGAAUUCCCUUUUGUGCCCACAGAAGAUUGAGCCUAUUCUCCAACGCCUUAUACCCGAUCUUUCUUCCAAGCAUCUUGAAAAUCAUGCCCUUUGCAUCAUGGCUUCGCUAUCUUUUUCUCCUGCUUCCGAAAGAUGAAUUCAGGACAGUCGUGAUCCCCAAUUUUCAUUUACUCUAUCUAAGUGUCUUCCAAGUCCAUCUCAUCUUCUACAUCCUCUUCUUCCACUUUACUGCUAUCCGUGUGUUCUUCGGUGACCACGGUUCUUAUAGGAACAUGAUGCUCUAAUUUCGGGUUGUUCGCUCCCAUCCAGAGUCGAAUCCCCGAAGCUAGGUUCUCCUUCAUCAUUAUCUUUCACUAUUUUAGUGCUUCGGGCCCGAAGGUCUUCUUCUUGGGGUUGGGGAUUUUCGACCUCAAGGGCGUUCAUGGCGUUCUUCAAGAACUAACUAGACAAUUGAACUCUUUGUGAGAAACAAUCAAGCUUCCACCAUGGCGGUCCCUAAUCCGAUGAUUAGGAGUUUAAACCAUCGCAAUGAGAUACUGAUCCGACGAGAAAUAGCGAGACACUAGAUGGAAAGCCACAAAAUGAACCCUAAAUCACAAACUCUAGCAGAGCUUUUACU